CCUACGGGAGGCAGCAGUGAGGAAUAUUGGACAAUGGAGGCAACUCUGAUCCAGCCAUGCCGCGUGCAGGAAGAAUGCCCUAUGGGUUGUAAACUGCUUUUAUACAGGAAGAAACACCCCGACGUGUCGGGACUUGACGGUACUGUAAGAAUAAGGAUCGGCUAACUCCGUGCCAGCAGCCGCGGUAAU
RNAcentral lists this ribosomal RNA (189 nucleotides) under uncultured bacterium. RNAcentral describes it as "partial 16S ribosomal RNA". It matches the Rfam family "Bacterial small subunit ribosomal RNA", at positions 338 to 524 of the family's 1533-position model. The record is from RNAcentral.